UACGGGGGGGGCAAGCGUUGUUCGGAAUUACUGGGCGUAAAGGGUUCGUAGGUGGCCAACUAAGUCAUACGUGAAAUCCCUCAGCUUAACUGGGGAACUGCGUCUGAUACUGGUUGGCUUGAGUGCAGGAGAGGAACGCGGAAUUCCAGGUGUAGCGGUGAAAUGCGUAGAUAUCUGGAGGAACACCGGUGGCGAAGGCGGGUCUCUGGGCAACAACUGACGCUGAGGAGCGAAAGCGUGGGGAGCGAACAGG
This 253-nucleotide ribosomal RNA is filed under the name uncultured bacterium. Its description in RNAcentral is "partial 16S ribosomal RNA". It matches the Rfam family "Bacterial small subunit ribosomal RNA", at positions 524 to 776 of the family's 1533-position model. The record is from RNAcentral.